RNAcentral lists this ribosomal RNA (220 nucleotides) under uncultured bacterium. Its description in RNAcentral is "partial 16S ribosomal RNA". It matches the Rfam family "Bacterial small subunit ribosomal RNA", at positions 57 to 305 of the family's 1533-position model. The record is from RNAcentral.
GCAAGUCGAGCGCUACCUUCGGGUGGAGCGGCGGACGGGUUAGUAACGCGUGGGAAUAUACCCUUCUCUACGGAAUAGCCUCGGGAAACUGAGAGUAAUACCGUAUACGCCCUUCGGGGGAAAGAUUUAUCGGAGAAGGAUUAGCCCGCGUAAGAUUAGAUAGUUGGUGGGGUAAUGGCCUACCAAGGCAACGAUCUAUAGCUGGUCUGAGAGGACGAUC